RNAcentral lists this unclassified non-coding RNA (343 nucleotides) under uncultured fungus. Its description in RNAcentral is "sequence contains ITS1". Lineage: Eukaryota; Fungi. The record is from RNAcentral.
GUAUAUAGUUUUUGUUUUGCGUCAAGGGACGAGGUUGUUUAACGCCUCAGCCCACAAGCCGACUUUGUUACAUUCUAUGGUCUGUAUUGGUUGGGGGUGUGAAAUACAUAAUCCGAAGCCUUCCCCUCUUCGAAAAGACCCGGAGAGAGAAAGAGGUUUUUUUACGCCCUCUCUCUCUGUCGUUCCUUCUCGCUUCGGUUUGUCGGCAAGCGGACUACAAAGGUGCACAGGUGUUGAAUUGUGGAAAAGCGCACGACGGCGGGCACAUGCCCCGAAAGGCCAGCUCAACCGAAGACGUUCGUUUAAUUCGUUAAUGAUCCUUCCGCAGGUUCACCUACGGAAA